RNAcentral lists this ribosomal RNA (245 nucleotides) under uncultured archaeon. Its description in RNAcentral is "partial 16S ribosomal RNA". It matches the Rfam family "Archaeal small subunit ribosomal RNA", at positions 474 to 717 of the family's 1478-position model. The record is from RNAcentral.
UCCCGGCGGUCCAAGUCGCAUCCACAAUUAUUGGGUCUAAAACAUCCGUAGCUUGUUUUGUAAGUCUCUUGUGAAAUCUGGUAUCUCAAGUAUCAGGCGUGCAAGAGAUACUGCAGAGCUUUGAGACCGGAAGACGCAAAGAGUAUGAUUAAGGUAGUGGUAAAAUAUGUUAAUCUUAAUCAGACUAACAAUGGCGAAGGCACUUUGCGAGUACGGAUCUGACAGUGAGGGAUGAAGGCUAGGGG